GACGAACGCUGGCGGCGUGCCUAAUACAUGCAAGUUGAGCGCUGAAGGUUGGAACUUGUACCGACUGGAUGAGCAGCGAACGGGUGAGUAACGCGUGGGGAAUCUGCCUUUGAGCGGGGGACAACAUUUGGAAACGAAUGCUAAUACCGCAUAAAAACUUUAAACACAAGUUUUAAGUUUGAAAGAUGCAAUUGCAUCACUCAAAGAUGAUCCCGCGUUGUAUUAGCUAGUUGGUGAGGUAAAGGCUCACCAAGGCGAUGAUACAUAGCCGACCUGAGAGGGUGAUCGGCCACAUUGGGACUGAGACACGGCCCAAACUCCUACGGGAGGCAGCAGUAGGGAAUCUUCGGCAAUGGACGAAAGGCUGAACGAGCAACGCCGCGUGAGUGAAGAAGGGUUUCGGAUCGUAAAACUCGGUUGGUAGAGAAGAACGUUGGUGAGAGUGGAAAGCUCAUCAAGUGACGGUAACUACCCAGAAAGGGACGGCUAACUACGUG
RNAcentral lists this ribosomal RNA (497 nucleotides) under uncultured bacterium. RNAcentral's name for it is "partial 16S ribosomal RNA". It matches the Rfam family "Bacterial small subunit ribosomal RNA", at positions 28 to 507 of the family's 1533-position model. The record is from RNAcentral.